This 1325-nucleotide ribosomal RNA is filed under the name bacterium. Its description in RNAcentral is "bacterial SSU rRNA". It matches the Rfam family "Bacterial small subunit ribosomal RNA", at positions 114 to 1453 of the family's 1533-position model. The record is from RNAcentral.
CACGUGUGCAACCUGCCUUUAUCUGGGGGAUAGCCUUUCGAAAGGAAGAUUAAUACCCCAUAAUAUACUGAAUGGCAUCAUUCUGUAUUGAAAACUCCGGUGGAUAGAGAUGGGCACGCGCAAGAUUAGAUAGUUGGUGAGGUAACGGCUCACCAAGUCUACGAUCUUUAGGGGGCCUGAGAGGGUGAUCCCCCACACUGGUACUGAGACACGGACCAGACUCCUACGGGAGGCAGCAGUGAGGAAUAUUGGACAAUGGGUGAGAGCCUGAUCCAGCCAUCCCGCGUGAAGGACGACGGCCCUAUGGGUUGUAAACUUCUUUUGUAUAGGGAUAAACCUACCCUCGUGAGGGUAGCUGAAGGUACUAUACGAAUAAGCACCGGCUAACUCCGUGCCAGCAGCCGCGGUAAUACGGAGGGUGCAAGCGUUAUCCGGAUUUAUUGGGUUUAAAGGGUCCGUAGGCGGAUCUGUAAGUCAGUGGUGAAAUCUCACAGCUUAACUGUGAAACUGCCAUUGAUACUGCAGGUCUUGAGUGUUGUUGAAGUAGCUGGAAUAAGUAGUGUAGCGGUGAAAUGCAUAGAUAUUACUUAGAACACCAAUUGCGAAGGCAGGUUACUAAGCAACAACUGACGCUGAUGGACGAAAGCGUGGGGAGCGAACAGGAUUAGAUACCCUGGUAGUCCACGCCGUAAACGAUGCUAACUCGUUUUUGGAAUGUAAGUUUCAGAGACUAAGCGAAAGUGAUAAGUUAGCCACCUGGGGAGUACGAACGCAAGUUUGAAACUCAAAGGAAUUGACGGGGGCCCGCACAAGCGGUGGAUUAUGUGGUUUAAUUCGAUGAUACGCGAGGAACCUUACCAAGGCUUAAAUGGGAAAUGACAGGUUUAGAAAUAGACUUUUCUUCGGACAUUUUUCAAGGUGCUGCAUGGUUGUCGUCAGCUCGUGCCGUGAGGUGUUAGGUUAAGUCCUGCAACGAGCGCAACCCCUGUCACUAGUUGCCAUCAUUAAGUUGGGGACUCUAGUGAGACUGCCUACGCAAGUAGAGAGGAAGGUGGGGAUGACGUCAAAUCAUCACGGCCCUUACGCCUUGGGCCACACACGUAAUACAAUGGCCGGUACAGAGGGCAGCUACACUGCGAAGUGAUGCAAAUCUCGAAAGCCGGUCUCAGUUCGGAUUGGAGUCUGCAACUCGACUCUAUGAAGCUGGAAUCGCUAGUAAUCGCGCAUCAGCCAUGGCGCGGUGAAUACGUUCCCGGGCCUUGUACACACCGCCCGUCAAGCCAUGGAAGUCUGGGGUACCUGAAGUCGGUGACCGUAACAGGAGC